UGGACAAUAUUUAUUAAAUACAAACGAAAAUACUACAGUGUCGAUUUUCUAAAAAAAAAUUAAGAACUAAGCAAGGCCUACGUGCAAUGCAACGUGGGAUUGCUUGAUGAGAAAUAUAUAUAUAUAUAAUUUUAUAUACUAGCUAGUAUAAGAGUAUUAAUGUACAUUAUGUAGUGCAAGUUCAGUACAAUGUCACUGUGUGGGCACGGGGCCGGGCGGGGUGCAUGCACGCACUGUGGUCUGCCGGCCGUGUGCGGUGCAGUGCAGACAGGGACAAGCUAGCGCGGCACAUGGCGGGCAUUCAGCUCAAGCGUCCGCGCGCCGUCGUCGUCGUCGACCGUUCAUGCAUGCCCUCAUCACAUGCAUGCAUGCCCCUUGCCAGUUGUUUGCCGUGCGGUCCAAAACUUCAAACCCGCACGGCGCGUCGUGACGGGAACUGUGUGCUUCCGGACGUACUCUAUCCGGAGAUCCAAUCACCACCCGGAGCUUCCAGCAAAAGAUACGGAGUACUCCGUGUGUGCGGUGUGUUGUAGCAAGCAUCCGUGGAAAUUCCUGGGUGAAGCAAAGGGAAAAAAAAACAAUAGAGUUUGACAUUGUGGUUACAUUUAUUUUUUUAUUAAUAGAUUUUUGUUAACAGAGGUGCAUGUACUUUCACUGUACGUGCACGGUCGUUCGGGACCGCGGUGCCCCUUGGAACGCCCGGGCGCACCGCAGCAAGCGCCGCUCUCCCGUCGUCCACGGCCCGCGGGGCCAAAAGCCCAAAAUGGUGGCCUCUCGUCACACGGCCAUUAUAGCCCACACCCCACAGCUGCACUCCACGCGACGCUUGCCUUUUUUGCGCGCUCGGGCCUGGAUCUGGCCUGCCCCGCCAAACUAUACCCCGCAAACGGGAGUUUGUCUACCUGCCAUUCACGAAAAAAACCAAAAACUUUUCACUCCAUCACAUCAAUUUUGCGGCACAUGUAUAAAAUAGUAAAUAUAGACGAAAAUAAAAACUAAUUACACAAUUUACCUGUAAAUCGCAAGAUGAAUCUUUUGAGUCUAGUUAGUUCAUGAUUAGACAAUAAUUACCAAAUGAAAACAAAAAUGCUACAUUAUCGAAAACCAAAAAAAUUUUCCUUCUUUUUUUUUCUUUCCUUUUUAUUUUUUUCCCUUUGUGCACCGACGGAGCCAACUGUGGGGCUGGUGGGGCUCCAGCCCCCUACGGCCGUAUAACCCGCGUAGCCCCUCUAACAGCUUGGCUAUUUUUGUUUUGGAGGUUAUUUUAGAAUUUGCAUAACAAAAGAUAGACUCCAACAGAUGUGCUAUCUAAGUUUUGUAGAAUAGAAAGUUGGCUAUUCCUUAAUUUUCGCUGGCCAUAUAUAGCCAACCAUUGACACAUGCUAUAUGAUUUUAUAAAAUAGCAAGACUGUUGUGGAUCUUUUAUUUUUUUAAGAAGUUUUCUAUUUUACAAAGUGGCUAAAUAAUAAAAUUUGGCUACUAAUUUUAGCCAGGCUGUUAGAGUUGCUCUUAGCCCCUCCUACAAAUUUUUAUCAUUUAUGCUCUUUAAAAAGAGGCUGAAGUUAUCUUAAGGUAGCAGAAGCUUUCUCUAAAUAUUUUUCUGGAUUCGUCACUGCUUGUGUGAGUGUUUUUCUGCCUUGGAUGGUACCUAGAGAACCCGACCACUUCUGGAACGGACCGAGGCUGUUCUCAUCUUGCAUUCAUUGAUUUUUUUUUGGGUUAAACAAUGAGAUCAAAGAUUAACAUCAGUGAACAAUGCUGAACUAUGAGUGUUACUGAGACUUUGAGGCACCUGAACCAAAAUGACCCAAAAAAAACGCUGAAAACAUCUGGAAACCCUUGGUAAUAUCAUUUAUUCCAUGAUACAACUGUGCGUGGCAUAUUUCAGUAUGCAAGAAAUCUGCUAAGCAGUACAAUCAAUCACUAAUUUUCUUUUUUCUCAAUACGGAUUGCCGAGCUUAUUGGGUUGAGCUUAUCUACCAGUCAUUCAUUAGUAUUUUUUUCUCUCACAACAAAUCAGUGAACACCACUUCAGCCAUGCUUUUAGAAACCAUUUGCAACAACUUGUAGGAUCCUAAUAAUGAUGAGCUCUGAUUAUUUUCUAAGACGGAUAGCGCUGACAUGUUCCAGAUGAACAAUUACCACUCAGGCCUUGUUUAGUUUCCAAAAAAUUUCAAAAUUCUCCGUCACAUCGAAUCUUGUAGCAUAUGCAUGAAGUAUUAAGGCCUUGUUUAGUUCGCAAAAAUUUUCAAGAUUCUCCGUCACAUCGAAUCUUUGAUCGCAUCCAUAGAGCAUUAAAUAUAGAUAAAAAUAAAAACUAAUUGCACAGUUUAUCUGUAAUUUGUGAGAUGAAUCUUUUGAGCCUAGUUACUCCUUGUUUGGAUAAUGUUUGUCAAAUAAAAACGAAAGUGCUACAGUAGCCGAAAACGAAAAUUUUUACGAACUAAACAAGGCCUAAAUGUAGAUAAAAACGAAUACUGAUUACACAGUUUACCGGUAAUUCGCGAGCUGAAUCUUUUGAGUCUGGUUUUAUCACAAACAAACGAAAGUGCUACAGUAGCCAAAACUAAAAAAUUUUUUCUCAACUAAAUAAGGCCUCAGUAGUUAUUGUAUACAUCGAGCAGCCGCAGCUGAAUCAGCUGCUACAGAGAUGCAGUCAAAGUACAAGUAGGUGUGGCAGAGUAUAAGUAGGUGUUCGUGACCAACACAAACUGCCACAAAACACAAAUCAUAUAUUCUCAGCACAGAUCAGGAAGGUGCCGAGAAGGAACAUGAUGCCCACGAAGCUCCGAGCCUCGGCCUUUUUUAAUCUUGGCCUUGUUUAGUUCCAAAAGUGAAAAGUUUUCGGCACCGUAGCACUUUCGUUUGUUUGUGACAAAUAUUAUCCAAUCAUAGACUAACUAGGAUCAAAAGAUUCGUUUCGUGAUUUACAGCUAAACUGUAUAAUUAGUUUUUGUUUUUGUCUAUAUUUAAUGUUUCAUGCAUGUGCCACAAGAUUCGAUGUGACGUGGAAUUUUGAAAACUUUUUGGUUUUCAGGGUGAACUAAACAAGGCCAUGCAACUUUGUCUUGCUGGCUGUUCUGGACCCCUUUGGUGCUUCUACACCUUAUGUGACUUUUUUUCCGAUUGCAAGGAUGAUGCAUGAAUACCCAUAGCACCACACACACUCAUGCCCAUGGGUGCAUCUUCUACCAUACGCAUCUUGUGUGUUUUUCUCCGAAGAUAAGCAAGCUUUCAUCGACACCAUAGCGUGGCUAGAGAAACCUAAACAGGAUAUAUAUAUAUAUAUAUAUACCUUGAGAUGCACAUACUAUAGUAUCUACAACUCUUUUUGACCAAAUAAAAAAUUGGAAUCGAAAUAUAUAGGAGGCUAAUGUUACGCGACCACCUUCUCCGCCGCGAUGUCCCCUCUCCUCGUCUUCUUCUCCCUCCGUGCUAACCCUCCUCCACCCUCACGUCACCUCACCAUGCCACCCAACUCCUGUCCCUACCCUCCCCAAAGCUCCAUUGUGGCACCUUCACCAACAUCAUCCUCACCCCCGCCCCCGCCCUUGUCCCCACCACCGGUGGCUAGUGGCUCCCGUUGCCCACCUAUCGUCCCUCAUCGUUGACCCUGCCCUCGAAUCCCGAGGUAGGUCAUCGACGGCCUCCACCGUGACACCCCCGUCACCAGUCCCACCUAAUAGCCUUUUCUCGCCGCCCCACCCGUCUCCACCUCCGUGUUACGACCGCCACCCCCAAAACCCUUUCUAAAAUCAUAGGGAAUAGAUCUCCUUACCUAACACUGAUGAACUCCUCACGGGAACCCUAGCCACCACCAUCUUCUUCUUCGUCUCUAGUGGCAUGCGGGCGCAUGCGCGAGAGUGACCAGUCACAUGACAAACUUUGCAAAAUACAUAUGUACCUCUUAUGGAGAUCUAGCCUCCACGCCAAAUUGGUAGCUCCUCCUUGACAUAUGAAAUGUAGCAACCAAAUUUUGUAAUGCAAAAUUUGCUCUAGAUCAGAAGAUGACUCCAAGGAGCGGUACUUCCGGUGGCUAAUCUAAUCUAACAAUGUGAACUGUUCAGGUUUGAGGAAUAGAUACACCCGUUUUA
Molecule: long non-coding RNA, 4094 nt
Filed under: Sorghum bicolor (sorghum)
Lineage: Eukaryota; Viridiplantae; Streptophyta; Magnoliopsida; Poales; Poaceae
Description: long non-coding RNA (SBIC_LNC003876)
Source: RNAcentral